UCGGGAAUUUUGCUCAAUGGGCGAAAGCCUGAAGCAGCAACGCCGCGUGAGGGAUGAAGGCCUUCGGGUUGUAAACCUCUUUUCUCAGGGACGAUAAUGACGGUACCUGAGGAAUAAGCCACGGCUAACUACGUGCCAGCAGCCGCGGUAAUACGUAGGUGGCAAGCGUUGUCCGGAUUUACUAGGCGUAAAGAGCGCGCAGGCGGUCUUGUAAGUCGAACGUGAAAGCCCCCGGCUCAACUGGGGAGGGUCGUUCGAUACUGCUCGACUUGAAGGCAGGAGAGGGAAGUGGAAUUCCCGGUGUAGUGGUGAAAUGCGUAGAUAUCGGGAGGAACACCAGUGGCGAAGGCGACUUCCUGGCCUGUUCUUGACGCUGAGGCGCGAAAGCUAGGGGAGCGAACGGGAUUAGAUACCCCGGUAGUCCUAGCCGUAAACGAUGGACACUAGGUGUUGGUGGUAUCAACCCCGCCAGUGCCGUAGCUAACGCAUUAAGU
Molecule: ribosomal RNA, 494 nt
Filed under: uncultured Acidobacteriota bacterium
Lineage: Bacteria; Pseudomonadati; Acidobacteriota
Description: bacterial SSU rRNA
Rfam family: Bacterial small subunit ribosomal RNA
Source: RNAcentral